Molecule: ribosomal RNA, 373 nt
Filed under: uncultured Bacteroidales bacterium
Lineage: Bacteria; Pseudomonadati; Bacteroidota; Bacteroidia; Bacteroidales
Description: bacterial SSU rRNA
Rfam family: Bacterial small subunit ribosomal RNA
Source: RNAcentral
ACAGGCUUAACACAUGCAAGUCGAGGGGUAGCAGGGUAGCAAUACCGCUGACGACCGGCGCACGGGCGAGUAACACGUAUCCAACCUUCCCAUAACUCGGGGAUAGCCUUUCGAAAGAAAGAUUAAUACCCGAUAGUACUUUUUUAGGGCAUCUUAGAAAAGUUAAAGAUUUAUUGGUUAUGGAUGGGGAUGCGUUCCAUUAGAUAGUUGGUGAGGUAACGGCUCACCAAGUCUUCGAUGGAUAGGGGUUCUGAGAGGAAGGUCCCCCACAUUGGUACUGAGACACGGACCAAACUCCUACGGGAGGCAGCAGUGAGGAAUAUUGGUCAAUGGGCGAGAGCCUGAACCAGCCAAGUAGCGUGAAGGAUGACGG